CCUUGGGAAGCUGGUGUUCCAGAAGGGCGUCCAGUUCCCCACUAGCCGAGCCAGCCCCGGGCUGCCUGCGGUGGCCAACCAAACACUGCCCUCCAGGAGACAGGGUGGAAAGCCAGGGCCAGGGUGCCUGCCUGCUCUUCCAGCAACAACAGGGCACUGUGAAGGGCAGAGGCCCCGGGGAGGAGCGAAGGAGGGCCAGCCAAGCUGGCAGCGGACAAGGUGGGAAAAGCGGAGGCGCCAUGAAGCCACCGGAACGGCAUUUUUCUCCUUCAACCCACAUCCCAGCCCUUGCAGCGCAGGGGGGAGGACUGAGCGGCCAGAGAGACAGCCCGCCUCCCAGCUCCGCUGGUUCUGCCCUGCACAGCAUCCCGGGUAAACGCAGAGACGUCUUGGUGACCAUUGCAAAUAGCAGGCAGUGACGUCAUUUGCUGCCACUGGAGAGGAAACGUGGAGCUCAGAGGGCUGGACGCGUUCAAAGAAAUUCUGCCCCAGCGACUGAAGAGCCAGCAGCCUGAGGUCAAAGAGAAGAGGCAGACGCAGCUCGCAGAGGCCGGAGCCCGCAUCCCUACCUGUGCGAGAGACCCCGUGAUUCCGUCUUCAGGAAUUUUGUGAACUGGUCGUUAAAUCCGGCAAUAAAAACAUUAAAUCACAUGCA
RNAcentral lists this long non-coding RNA (655 nucleotides) under Sus scrofa (pig). RNAcentral describes it as "lncRNA (ENSSSCG00015039475.1)". The record is from RNAcentral. Lineage: Eukaryota; Metazoa; Chordata; Mammalia; Artiodactyla; Suidae.